GCACUGGUGCUUCAGUGACAGAAUUUUUGCCUUUCAUGCAGGAGGCCUGAGGUUCAAUUCCUGGCUAAUGCA
RNAcentral lists this transfer RNA (72 nucleotides) under Loxodonta africana (African savanna elephant). It matches the Rfam family "tRNA". Rfam says of the family: Transfer RNA (tRNA) molecules are approximately 80 nucleotides in length. Lineage: Eukaryota; Metazoa; Chordata; Mammalia; Proboscidea; Elephantidae. The record is from Rfam by way of RNAcentral.